Long non-coding RNA from Oncorhynchus tshawytscha (Chinook salmon), 959 nucleotides. RefSeq lists it as uncharacterized. The transcript is spliced from 2 exons. Lineage: Eukaryota; Metazoa; Chordata; Actinopteri; Salmoniformes; Salmonidae. The record is from RefSeq and is a predicted model, not a curated record.
AUUCUCUCUGUCUGCUGAUGUCCGUUUGCUACGUCCCUCCUACUCCUUCUGCAAUGGGAAGGAUCUCCUCAGCUGUCCCCACGGCAACAUCUGUGAUGUCAUCGGCCUGGUGGUGUUCUCUGGCCGGCCUGAAAGAAUCAGGAGCAAGGGUGGGUUACCAUGGUGACGAUGUUGAUGAUGGUCAGGGGCGGACAUAGUGAUUCAGAGGGCCCAGGCAGAGGCCAGUCGGACCCCCCCCCAUUUUUUUUUUUUUAAUGGGUUUUAUAAAAGAGACGUCAUUUAACUGUAAAAAUGUAAUGGGUUUUAUAGAAAAGACAUGUCAUUUAACUGUAAAGAUGUGUUACCUUUGAAUAUGCCAUGAACACGAUCAGUCAUGUCACUUCAAAAGUAGAUGACCUUUGCACACUCAUCCAAAACAAUUCCAGCAUCCCAACUGUGCACCCGCAAACUUUCCUUCAAUUCGCAAGUGGCUGAAACUAUCUCACCGGAGAAAGCAUCCGAGCGAGGGAAACAGCGCCGUGCUCUUUAUGAUACGAUGGCUACACAUACAGGGCCUUCAGAAAGGAUUCACACCCCUUGACUUUUUCCACGUUUUUGUUGUGUUAGACUGAAUUAAAAUUGAGUACAUUUAGAUUUUGUCACUGGCCUCUACACACAAAACACCAUAAUGUCAAAGUGGAAUUCUAUUUUUAGAAACUUGUAUCCAUAAAAAAGGAAAAGCUGAAAUGUCUUGAGUCAAUAAACAUUCCAGCCCCUUUGUUUAGCCUAAAUAAGUUCAGGAGUUAACAAGUCAUAUUUAUUUAUUUAACCUUUUAUUUAACUAAGCAAGUCAGUUAAGAACAAAUUCUUAUUUACAAUGAAGGCCUACCAAAAGGAGAAAGACCUCCUGCUGGGAUGGGGGCAUUAAAAAUAUAGAUAUAAAUACAGGACAAAACACACAUCACAACACAGCAAGGCAG